Molecule: ribosomal RNA, 371 nt
Filed under: uncultured organism
Description: bacterial SSU rRNA
Rfam family: Bacterial small subunit ribosomal RNA
Source: RNAcentral
CAGAGAGUGCAAACGUUGUUCGGAAUUACUGGGCUUGAAGCGCACGUAGGCGGCGUCGUAAGUGUCGGGUGAAAUCCCACGGCUCACCCGUGGAACUGCCCGGCAUACUGCGGCGCUAGAGUGUGGUAGGGGAGAGCGGAACUCCUGGUGGAGCGGUGAAAUGCGUAGAUAUCAGGAGGAACACCGGUGGCGAAGGCGGCUCUCUGGUCCACAACUGACGCUGAGGUGCGAAAGCUAGGGGAGCAAACGGGAUUAGAUACCCCGGUAGUCCUAGCUGCAAACGAUGGGCACUAGCUUGGGGUCUCCCUGUGUGAUCCCAGGUGAAGCAAAAGUGAUAAGUGCCCCGCCUGGGGAGUAUGGUCGCAAGGCUG